UUCCCUCAUUGAGCACUGCGCUCAAUGCAUGGGCGCCUCGCUCUCUCUACUAACUCAUGUGUAACGGCAUCGCCGCAAAGGCGAAGUGUACGACGAAGGAGAGCGAGCAUCCCUUCGCAGCAGCACGCGUAGCCCUCCUUUCCAGGUUUAAGUCUGUGGUGUGCCGCUCCUCGGUGAUGCGGGUGUGGUCAGUCUCGCAGGCUCCGCCGCAUCUCCGGGUCUUUUCUUUCCCCGUCUCCACGUCGUAUCGUUUCCUUUCGAGCAUUUCUGUGGCACCUGUGCGCCCAUGUACGCGUCCCCCUCAGGCGUUGGGUUUGUGGCGAAAACGAAGCUGCGUGCGCGUGCACACACGUCAGGGCACCACACAGCAAAAAAAGAGUAGAGAACGACAGAGCGCGCCUCAACCUCUGGUGAGGGCUACCGUAUCUCCAUCAAUCUCUGUGGUGAGGACUAGACCGACUGCGGUGCCGUUGGCGAUGCCACUUUCAUCAGCAGCAAGACCAUCCUAUCGUGCGAGCUUAUCUUCGCAGCGGCUCUUUCGUCUUCCGGGUAUUUGUUCAACCUCCACUAGCGGUCUCACGUGCUGCCGCCAGGUUCACAUCGGGCACUCCACCGACGUGCACCGGUGGCGCAACCCAGAGAAGGAGGAGGUGCAGCGGCAGUUCCGCGGUGGGGUGAAACUGGGAAGUCACAUAGCCAAGGUUCGCGAGCAGCAGGCAAAGGAGAGGGAGCUCAUUGAGCAGGACAAGUUCACGGACUGGCGUCUGGUCUACAACUAUUCCAUCGGCGCGGCUCUGCUGCUUAUUGGACUGAACGUGAUUCUUGCCUUUGUGGAGCCGAAUCCAUCACCCGAGUACGUCCCCUACACUGAAUCAGUGGUGCCGGCGUCCAACGUCAGCGAUACGAUGGCGGAGUCGGGUCAGGCGCCGUUGAGUGAUGCGGGGCCCGCGAGACGUACUUGAGGAGAUACCUGCUAGGCAGAAAGCACAGAUGGAAGCCCGCUGUGUGGCGCUUGCCCUGGGCGAAGAAGUGAUGUAAGAGGCAGAACGAGAACUCGCGGAGGGGGAGGGGGUGGACAGGCUUUUCUACGAGGCGUCGAAUGGUCCGGGCGUCUCCCCCCCCCCCACUUACGUUGCCUGUCACCUCUCAUCCUUUGAGCCGUGACGUGUUUCCCUCGCUCACGCUCUCUUCUUUGUGGUUUCGCCUGUGUCGAGCGUAGACGAAUGCACACCCACACACAUACGCGUAUAGUUACCCGCAGAGCGCAGGUCGGCACAUGCGACCGAAAAG
RNAcentral lists this unclassified non-coding RNA (1290 nucleotides) under Leishmania donovani. RNAcentral's name for it is "gene:LdHU3.29.2290(CDS-product:hypothetical_prote in_conserved)". Lineage: Eukaryota; Euglenozoa; Kinetoplastea; Trypanosomatida; Trypanosomatidae. The record is from RNAcentral.